RNAcentral lists this ribosomal RNA (400 nucleotides) under uncultured bacterium. Its description in RNAcentral is "bacterial SSU rRNA". It matches the Rfam family "Bacterial small subunit ribosomal RNA", at positions 355 to 747 of the family's 1533-position model. The record is from RNAcentral.
UGGGGAAUAUUGGACAAUGGGCGCAAGCCUGAUCCAGCAAUGCCGCGUGGGUGAAGACGGCCUGCGGGUUGUAAAGCCCUUUAGGCGGGGAAGAACGGCGGACGGUAAACAGCGGUUCGCUCUGACAUUACCCGUGGAAUAAGCACCGGCUAACUCCGUGCCAGCAGCCGCGGUAAUACGGAGGGUGCGAGCGUUAAUCGGAAUUACUGGGCGUAAAGCGUGCGUAGGCGGAUGGGUCAGUCAGCCGUGAAAGCCCCGGGCUCAACCUGGGAACGGCGGUUGAGACGGCCUGUCUCGAGUGGGCUAGAGGAUCGUGGAAUUCCGGGUGUAGCGGUGAAAUGCGUAGAGAUCCGGAGGAACACCGAUGGCGAAGGCAGCGGUCUGGGGCCACACUGACGCU